RNAcentral lists this ribosomal RNA (253 nucleotides) under uncultured bacterium. RNAcentral describes it as "partial 16S ribosomal RNA". It matches the Rfam family "Bacterial small subunit ribosomal RNA", at positions 524 to 776 of the family's 1533-position model. The record is from RNAcentral.
UACAUGGGGUGCAAACGUUGCUCGGAAUUAUUGGGCGUAAAGCGCACGUAGGCGGUUCGUUAAGUCGGAUGUGAAAGCCCUCGGCUCAACUGAGGAAGUGCACCCGAAACUGGCGAGCUUGAGUACGAAAGAGGAUCGCGGAAUUCCCGGUGUAGAGGUGAAAUUCGUAGAUAUCGGGAGGAACACCGGUGGCGAAGGCGGCGAUCUGGGUCGAUACUGACGCUGAGGUGCGAAAGCGUGGGGAGCAAGCAGG